GACGAACGCUGGCGGCGUGCUUAACACAUGCAAGUCGAACGGAAAGGCCCUGCUUUUGUUGGGUGCUCGAGUGGCGAACGGGUGAGUAACACGUGAGUAACCUGCCCUUGACUUUGGGAUAACUUCAGGAAACUGGGGCUAAUACCGGAUAGGAGCUCCUGCUGCAUGGUGGGGGUUGGAAAGUUUCGGCGGUUGGGGAUGGACUCGCGGCUUAUCAGCUUGUUGGUGGGGUAGUGGCUUACCCAGGCUUUGACGGGUAGCCGGCCUGAGAGGGUGACCGGCCACAUUGGGACUGAGAUACGGCCCAGACUCCUCCGGGAGGCAGCAGUGGGGAAUAUUGCAAAAUGGGCGGAAGCCUGAUGCAGCAACGCCGCGUGCGGGAUGACGGCCUUCGGGUUGUAAACCGCUUUCGCCUGUGACGAAGCGUGAGUGACGGUAAUGGGUAAAGAAACACCGGCUAACUACGU
This 467-nucleotide ribosomal RNA is filed under the name uncultured bacterium. RNAcentral's name for it is "partial 16S ribosomal RNA". It matches the Rfam family "Bacterial small subunit ribosomal RNA", at positions 28 to 506 of the family's 1533-position model. The record is from RNAcentral.